UGGGGAAUUUUGCACAAUGGGGGAAACCCUGAUGCAGCGACGCCGCGUGAUUUAGAAGGCCUUCGGGUUGUAAAAAUCUUUUUUAUGGGAUGAAAAUGACAGUACCAUAAGAAUAAGGUCCGGCUAACUACGUGCCAGCAGCCGCGGUAAUACGUAGGUGGCAAGCGUUGUCCGGAUUUAUUGGGCGUAAAGCGAGCGCAGGCGGUCAAUUAAGUCUGAUGUGAAAGCCCCCGGCUCAACCGGGGAGGGUCAUUGGAAACUGGUUGACUUGAGUGCAGAAGAGGAGAGUGGAAUUCCAUGUGUAGCGGUGAAAUGCGUAGAUAUAUGGAGGAACACCAGUGGCGAAGGCGACUCUCUGGUCUGUAACUGACGCUGAGGCUCGAAAGCGUGGGUAGCAAACAGG
This 403-nucleotide ribosomal RNA is filed under the name Bacteroidota bacterium. RNAcentral describes it as "Bacteroidetes bacterium partial 16S ribosomal RNA". It matches the Rfam family "Bacterial small subunit ribosomal RNA", at positions 355 to 776 of the family's 1533-position model. The record is from RNAcentral. Lineage: Bacteria; Pseudomonadati; Bacteroidota.